RNAcentral lists this transfer RNA (84 nucleotides) under Aromatoleum aromaticum EbN1. RNAcentral describes it as "tRNA-Thr (TGT) (tRNA-Thr-TGT-2-1)". Lineage: Bacteria; Pseudomonadati; Pseudomonadota; Betaproteobacteria; Rhodocyclales; Rhodocyclaceae. The record is from RNAcentral.
GCAUACGCUUCAACGUGGGAAAAUGCCGUUUUUUCCCGCCUUGUAAGCGGUAGGUCAUCUGUUCGAGUCAGAUUGUCGGCACCA